CAUUCCCAGCCGCCACCCCGACACUGGCUGCCAUUCAGUCAAGCCCUUCCCAGACUGCGAGCUCACUGGCGCCGCCGCAACUCCGCCCCUCCGCAGGGCGGGACAAGCUGAGCCGAAACCACACCUGCAGCUUCAGCGAUUGGUGGAGAAGUUCAAGUAGGCACUUUCUACGAGGGGAGGAGUCCAAUUAGUGGACUAGCCCAAGACUGAAACAGCUGAUUUUCGAGAACCCGCGCGUGAGCCCCGGAACCGAAACUAGCUUGAGGAGCCUGGAGACGCCAAGGGCUCCAUGGGAAGGGGUGGGACCGGAAUUUCGACGCCUUGGGAUAGGAAGAGGAGGGCUGAGGAACUUCAAAACUGAUCUUAGUUCA
Molecule: long non-coding RNA, 371 nt
Filed under: Homo sapiens (human)
Lineage: Eukaryota; Metazoa; Chordata; Mammalia; Primates; Hominidae
Description: HSALNT0189852
Source: RNAcentral